This 1468-nucleotide ribosomal RNA is filed under the name uncultured Bordetella sp. RNAcentral's name for it is "partial 16S-23S ribosomal RNA intergenic spacer". It matches the Rfam family "Bacterial small subunit ribosomal RNA". The record is from RNAcentral. Lineage: Bacteria; Pseudomonadati; Pseudomonadota; Betaproteobacteria; Burkholderiales; Alcaligenaceae.
AGUCGAACGGCAGCACGGACUUCGGUCUGGUGGCGAGUGGCGAACGGGUGAGUAAUGUAUCGGAACGUGCCUAGUAGCGGGGGAUAAUCACGCGAAAGCGUAGCUAAUAAUGUACGCUGGCCCUUCGGGGGAAAGCGGGGACCUUUCAAAUUCCGCACUAUUAGAGCGGGCUGAUAUCGGAUUAGCUAGUUGGUGGGCAAUGGCUCAUCAAGGCGACGAUCCGUACACAGGAGGACGACCAGCCACACUGGGACUGGUGACACGGCCCAGACUCCUACGGAGGCAGCAGUGGGGAAUUUUGGACAAUGGGGAAAAUCCCCGAUCCAGCCAUCCCGCGUGUGGGUGCGAUGAAGGCCUUCGGGUUGUGGUAAAAGCACUUUGGCAGAAAGAAACGGCACGGAGCAAAAUACCCCCGUGCAACUGACGGUACCUGCGCAUUGGGCACCGGCUAACUACGUGCCAGCAGCCGCGGUAAUACGUAGGGUGCAAGCGUUAAUCGGAAUUACUGGGCGCGAAGCGUGCGCAGGCGGUUCGGAAAGAAAGAUGUGAAAUCCCAGAGCUUAACUUUGGAACUGCAUUUUUAACUACUGAGCUAGAGUGUGUCAGAGGGAGGUGGAAUUCGCGUGGGCAGUGAAUAUGAUAUGCGGAGGAACACCGAUGGCGAAGGCAGCCUCCCUGGGAUAACACUGAUGCUCACGCACGAAAGCGUGGGGAGCAAACAGGAUUAGAUACCCUGGUAGUCCACGCCCUAAACGAUGUCAACUAGCUGUUGGGGCCUUCGGGUACCCGCAGUAGCGCAGCUAACGGUGAAGUUGACCGCCUGGGGAGUACGGUCGCAAGAUUAAAACUCAAAGGAAUUACGUAUUCCGCACAAGCGGUGUGGAUGAUGUGGAUUAAUUCGAUGCAACGCGAAAAACCUUACCUACCCCUUACAUGUCUGGAAUCCCGAAGAGAUUUGGGAGUGCUGCAAGAGAACCGGAACACAGGUGCUGCAUGGCUGUCGUCAGCUCGUGUCGUGAGAUGUUGGGUUAAGUCCCGCAACGAGUGCAACCCUUGUCAUUAGUUGCUACGAAAGGGCACUCUAACGAGACUGCCGGUGACAAACUGGAGGAAGGUGGGGAUGACGUCAAGUCCUCAUGGCCCUUAUGGGUAGGGCUUCUCACACGUCAAUGGUCGGGACAGAGGGUCGCCAACCAUGAGGGGGAGCCAAUCCCAGAAACCCGAUCGUAGUCCGGAUCGCAGUCUGCAACUCGGCUGCGUGAAGUCGGAAUCUCCAGUAAUCGCGGAUCAGCAUGUCGCGGUGAAUACGUUCCCGGGUCUUGUGCUACACACCGCCCGUCACAAUCAUGGGAGUGGGUUUUUACCAGAAGUAGUUAGCCUAACUCGUAUGAGGGCGAUUACCACGGUAGGAUUCAUGACUGGGGUGAAGUCGUACUACAGUAGCUCUAGCAUUACCUGAUGCUCCUUA